CGCGUAGACGGUUUUGUAAGUCAGAUGUGAAAUCCCUGGGCUCAACCUGGGAACUGCAUUUGAUACUGCAUGGCUAGAGUAUGGAAGAGGGAAGUGGAAUUUCCGGUGUAGCGGUGAAAUGCGUAGAUAUCGGAAGGAACACCAGUGGCGAAAGCGACUUCCUGGUCCAAUACUGACGUUCAUGUGCGAAAGCGUGGGGAGCAAACAGGAUUAGAUACCCUGGUAGUCCACGCCAUAAACGAUGACAACUAGAUGUUGGGAGGGUCUGCCUCUCGGUGUCGCAGCUAACGCGUUAAGUUGUCCGCCUGGGGAGUACGGCCGCGAGGUUGAA
RNAcentral lists this ribosomal RNA (331 nucleotides) under uncultured bacterium. RNAcentral describes it as "bacterial SSU rRNA". It matches the Rfam family "Bacterial small subunit ribosomal RNA", at positions 568 to 898 of the family's 1533-position model. The record is from RNAcentral.